RNAcentral lists this ribosomal RNA (427 nucleotides) under uncultured bacterium. RNAcentral describes it as "partial 16S ribosomal RNA". It matches the Rfam family "Bacterial small subunit ribosomal RNA", at positions 355 to 774 of the family's 1533-position model. The record is from RNAcentral.
UGGGGAAUAUUGCACAAUGGGCGCAAGCCUGAUGCAGCCAUGCCGCGUGUAUGAAGAAGGCCUUCGGGUUGUAAAGUACUUUCAGCGGGGAGGAAGGCGAUAAGGUUAAUAACCUUGUCGAUUGACGUUACCCGCAGAAGAAGCACCGGCUAACUCCGUGCCAGCAGCCGCGGUCAUACGGAGGGUGCAAGGGUUAAUCGGAAUUACUGGGCGUAAAGCGCACGCAGGCGGUCUGUCAAGUCGGAUGUGAAAUCCCCGGGCUCAACCUGGGAACUGCAUUCGAAACUGGCAGGCUAGAGUCUUGUAGAGGGGGGUAGAAUUCCAGGUGUAGCGGUGAAAUGCGUAGAGAUCUGGAGGAAUACCGGUGGCGAAGGCGGCCCCCUGGACAAAGACUGACGCUCAGGUGCGAAAGCGUGGGGAGCAAACA